This 82-nucleotide transfer RNA is filed under the name Chloroflexota bacterium. RNAcentral describes it as "Chloroflexi bacterium tRNA-Leu". It matches the Rfam family "tRNA". From Rfam's summary of the family: Transfer RNA (tRNA) molecules are approximately 80 nucleotides in length. Their secondary structure includes four short double-helical elements and three loops (D, anti-codon, and T loops). The record is from RNAcentral. Lineage: Bacteria; Bacillati; Chloroflexota.
GGGGAAGUGGCGGAAUUGGCAGACGCGCAUGACUUAGGAUCAUGUGCCUCCGGGCGUGUGGGUUCGAGUCCCACCUUCCCCA